This 25399-nucleotide long non-coding RNA is filed under the name Populus tremula. RNAcentral describes it as "long non-coding RNA (PTRE_LNC002574)". Lineage: Eukaryota; Viridiplantae; Streptophyta; Magnoliopsida; Malpighiales; Salicaceae. The record is from RNAcentral.
ACCGAUUUAAAUUCAAAGAUCUUUAUACUGCCACCAAAGGAUUUAGAGACGAGGAGCUGUUGGGUAGUGGUGGAUUUGGUAGAGUCUACAAAGGUGUCUUGCCAACCUCGAAGAUUCAGAUUGCAGUGAAAAGGGUGUCUCAUGAAUCAAGACAGGGGAUGAGGGAAUUUGUGGCGGAAAUUGUCAGCAUUGGUCGCCUUCGUCACCGGAAUUUAGUCCCUCUCUUGGGGUACUGCCGGCGUAAAGGAGAGCUACUUUUGGUAUAUGACUACAUGCCUAAGGGAAGUCUAGACAAAUACCUCUAUGACCAACCAGCAGUCGCCCUCAAUUGGAGCCAAAGAUUUAGAGUCAUCAAAGGCGUAGCUUCAGGGUUAUUAUAUCUACAUGAAGAAUGGGAGCAAGUUGUGAUUCAUAGAGAUGUCAAGGCUAGUAAUGUCUUGCUAGAUGGUGAAUUGAAUGGAAGAUUAGGGGAUUUUGGCCUUGCAAGAUUGUAUGACCAUGGAACAGAUCCUCAAACGACCCACGUUGUCGGAACUCUUGGGUAUCUCGCACCUGAGCAUGCACGAACUGGAAAGGCCACGACAAGCACUGAUGUGUUCGCUUUUGGGGCCUUCCUGCUUGAGGUUGCUUCUGGUAGAAGGCCAAUACAGCCAACUGAGGAUAUAAUCUUGGUUGAUUGGGUGUUUAGUCGAUGGCUUGGAGGUGAAAUUCUGGAGGCAAGGGAUCCCAAUUUGGGAACAGAAUAUAUUGCAGAGGAAAUGGAAUUGGUAUUGAAACUUGGUUUGAUGUGCUCUCAUUCUGAGCCUGCAGCAAGGCCAAGCAUGCGCCAAGUAGUGCAGUUCUUAGAGGGGAAUGUUCCUCUGCCUGACAUUUCACCACUUUGUCUUUCUGCAAGUGGCCUAACAUUUUCACAUCGUGAAGGUUUUGAUGACUUUGCCAAUUCUUAUCCUUCUUCUAUGGACAAUGCAUUUGCACACUCGUCCUCGGUUACAGAGUCCCUCCUUUCAGGUGGCCGUUAAUUCUUGCUUUUCUUCGAGGACCCAUCAAGAACUCAUGUAAGAUCUAUUUGGUGAAUAAGAGGAGUUCUUGUAUGCAACAUAUACAUUACCUUAUGCGUGUGUUUUUUCUAUAUAAAAAAAACUAUGUAGUAAACUGCCUUUAAGAGAUGUACAUGAAAGAUCACCUGCAAAACAACGAUGCGAAUUAAAUAAAAUGCAUAACACGGUAUAUCUACCUUUUGUUCAUGUUAAUGUAUCACAUAAGAGAGCAAACAUGGUAACAAAUCAUGAAGCAGGAUGUAAUGUUUAAAAGACAUGCAUAGUUAUGGUUGGAAGUAGUACCAAACUCUGUCUAUCAAAGGACCAAUUCGAGUUGGUUCUUGGCCAUUGGCGACUAGUAAUGGUUUUACAAAGAAUCAGAGUGUUCAGGCCAACUUUAUUCAAGUUGGCUAAUUGUAUAGUGUCAACGAGGUCAGUGAAGCACAAGGGUAUCUCUUUUCAUGGUCUCUAAUAACAGCAAUAUAGGUGGAUAGAUGAUCAGAACUUGAAAACGAGUAAUUUUGCUCCAACGCAUGGACACUUAUGUAGGAGAUUUUUUUUCUUUCUAAUGUAUAAUUUUAUAUUAACAUGCAUAAAUUUUAAUUCAUCGUGAUCGCCAGAAUCACGUGAUGGUACUUCUUACAAACAACAAAACAUCAAAAAAUGAUUUUUCUUUAUACUUACUUGGCAAGGUGGUUCUUGAGGGGACUUGAUCGGGUGAUUUUCUUCGGUCAUAACAAAGCUCUGAACAGGAGGGGACUGUUGGUUUCCUUGUAUUUGAGAUUAAAAAAAAAAAAGAGUGCCGGUGAAAUGAAAGCAGCAUGCCGAUUUAUAGAUCACACAGCAAGGUUUCACUAUUUCAAUUUCUAGAUGCAAUUGAACACUCGGUUUUCCCGACAUAAAAUUUGAGCAGAACAAACAAGGCACUAUAUUCUCCUAUUUGGCGUCAAGUCCGUCCAAAACAUUUGUAAGCAAAAAUAUGACUAAAGGUAACUACAAGUAAAUCUCCCAACUAUAUAGGGUUAGUCUCAGUUAGUCCUCAAAGAUUAAAAUUGAUCUAUUUUGCCCUCAACUAUUAAGCAUUAUCCUUUCUUGCUUCCUAAUCAGCACGCCUUGAAAGCGAUCAACAAAAUUAGUAUAUUACGCAUGUCUUUUGUGGUUUCCUAUUUUGAUUUGAUUUUAAAAGUUUUCAUAGUUGGAUUUAGUACCUUCAACUUAUGAUUUGGUAGCUAGAUUGGAUUCGAUACGUAACGAAAUGGGCUAGUAUCAAGUCCUAGAUAGAUCCAAAAUGUAUUGUGUCGAGCCACCUACAGUUAAAGCCCGAACUUGGUCAGAGGCAUCUGGAAAAAGUCCUGAGCACUUAUGGUCAAGCCGAGAAAGAGUAUAGGAAGCCUGAGUAGUUAAAGUUGAUCGGAGUCCAAGGUGCCUAAAUGUAAGACGGGAAUCGAGUUCUGGACACCUAAUGAUCUACCAAGGAAAUCCGAUAAAUUGCUAGGACAAACAUAGGGAUAAACCUCACUAUUCACUGCUAGAAAAUCGAUAAGUAUAAAUAAAAAUACUAAGAAAAUAUUUUUGUUGGUAAAUUACCGACAAAAAUAUUCCCUACAUUGAAAAAAAAAAAUUUAAAAAAAAAUAAUGACGUGUCAUUUUUACCAGCAGAAUUACUGAUAGAAUUAACUCCGUCGGUAAAAUCGUUUGUAAACUGUGAACACUAUUCGUCAUAUCAAUUACAAAGGGAAUCAUCAAUGAAAGCUUCUGUCAGUAUUUUACAGAGAGCUCUGAAACUAUUCACUUUCCAAUUACACUUUUAAUUACUAUUCUUUACAGAAAAAUCAUCGACGGAUUGAAAAGUCAUCGAUGUUAUUUUGUGGUUUUCUGAAAAAUUUAGCUUAAAUUAAAAAUUUUAAUUAAAUAUUACAGACGAAAUCACCAACAUAUUGAAAAGUAGUUAGUGAUAUUUGGUGAUUUCUAAAUUGUUUUGAUUAAAUUCAAAAUUUAAAUUAAAUAUUACAGACAGAAUCAACGGAAUAAUUAAAAAUAUUAAUAUUUAGUUAUCCGUCGGUAAAACGUCACAAUAAAAAACCUAGAAUCCCUAAUUUCACAAGAGACCCGUUUAUUAUCUUCUUCCUCUUCUUCUUCUUCUUGUUUUUUUUUCUUCUCUCUUCUCUACUCAACUCCUCUUCUCCUCCAUGCUCAAGUAUGUCUUCUUCUCCUUUCUUUUUUUUUCUUCCCAAUUUUUUUUAAUUAGUAUUCUUUACAAAUUUGUUUUUCUUUUCUUCUUAACUUCACUUACAACUACAUUAAGGUAAAAAAAAACAUUUUCUUCUUUUUUUGUGUUUUUUUCACUAUAUUUGUUUUUUAUUUUAUUUUUAAUUGUUUUUGUUCUAAAUAAUUAUAUGAAUUUGUUGUAGGAUUUUUUUUUCAUAUGAGAUCAAUUUUUAGUUGAUUUAUUUAUAGGAUUUUAAAAAAAUUUCAUAUGAUUUUUUUAGUUGAAUUUAUUUUUUGAUGUUAUUUAUUUGUUGCAAAUUUUUUGAGUUGAUUUUCUUUUUCUUUUUUCCAAGAAUUUUGAGUAUUAUAGAGUGUUGAUUAAUAUUAAUUAAAUUAUUUUAUGAUUUUAUAAAAUAGAUUUUUUAAAAAUAUUUUUUAAUAAUUACCGACAGAAUUACAUACGGUAUUUUUCUGAGGGAAUUACCGACGAAAUGAAACGGGUAAUUUAAUUGUUUUAUUACCAAACGAAAUUUUGCGUGGUUGCGGGUGAACCUCACCCGCAACCACAAAACCAAACACCCACUUAUUUUAUGGACAGUGAUUUGUUAAAAUCAUUUUUAAAAUUUUUAUUUAUUUGUUAUUAAAAAAAUAUUAAUCAACAAAAACUAUUUUUUAAUAAAAAAAAAUUAGCUUGAUUUACAUAAAAGUAUUUUAUUAUUUUGAGAAAAAAAAAACUUUUCAAAAGUUAUGAAAAAUUUAGAAAUAUCAUGUUAUUUACUGAUUUUAUCAAAUUUGAUCCUCAAAUUUUUUAUUUUAUAUAUUUUGUUUUGAAUAUUAUUUUUUCAAAUUCAUCUCUUUAAAUUUAAUUUGAUUUGCUUUUUAUAUUUAUUUUUUAUUUUUAAGAUUGUUAUUUGAUUUUCUUUUAUUAUUUUUUUAAUUGAAAUUAAUUAUUUAUUAGAUUUGGUCUUUAUUUUUUUUAUUAUUUAAUUUAUUUGAAAUAAUUUAUGAAAUUGUAAUUUUUUUUUAUUUUUAUAAAUUUUCAACUUUUUUAUCUAUUAGAUCUUUAUUAUUUUAAUUAUUAUUUAUUUUAUUUGAGAUAAUUUAUGAAAUUAGAGUUUUUUUAAUUUUACUUUAAUUUAAUUUUUUCAUUUUUAAGAUUUGUCUUUAUUAUUUUAGUAAACUUGAAAAAAUAGUAAUAAUUUAUUUUUUAACUUUUUUUCCAUGGUCAAAUACUAGAAAAUAUUUUAUAAUUUAUUUUUCAUAAUACAAUUAAAUAUUAGAAAACAAUUUACUUUUCAAGAAUUUAUUUUUUAAAUAACUAUUUAAAAAAUAUAUAUUUUUCAGCUAACAAACUGCCGACUCCUGAAUUACGUGGAUACUCCAUUAUAAGUGACAAACAUGAACAAGAAACUGGUGGGUGGAGACAAACACAGUUGCAAUGUUAUUCAGGAACGUCUUUUUUGUGCGUGUCUUCGUUAGCUUAGCAAUAGCAGCCUCUCAAGAUCUCAACUUCACCUUCUCUGGCUUCCGAUCCACUAAUCUAAGCCUUGACGGCUUAGCUGAGUUAACCUCCAAUGGCCUUUUGAGGCUAACCAAUGAAACCAAGCAACGAACUGGUCACGCCUUCUAUCCAAACCCAGUAACCUUCAACAACUCUAUAAAUAGCACUGCUUUCACCUUCUCCACCGCCUUUGUUUUCGCUAUCAUACCUCAAUAUGAAAGUUUUGGUGGCCAUGGUAUUGCCUUUGUCAUUGCACCCACAAGAGGUCUCCCAGGAGCUCUUCCAAGCCAGCACCUUGGUCUAUUUGAUGAGAACAACAAUGGGAAUCAGACUAACCGUGUGGUUGCUGUGGAGCUUGACACGAUAUACAACAGCGAUUUCAAAGAUAUCAAUGAUAACCAUGUUGGGAUUGAUAUUAAUGGUUUAGUGUCUGAACGAUCUGCUCCAGCAGGAUAUUAUUCCCAACUUAAUGGUAAGCUCACAAACUUGACACUAGUUAGUGGCCAUCCAAUGCAAGUUUGGAUGGAAUAUGAUGGCAUGGAGAAGCAAAUGAAUGUCACUAUAGCUCCGAUUGAUGUUGAUAAACCCAGUACACCACUUUUGACUUUGUCUCGUGAUUUGUCGCCAAUCUUAAACAGUAGUAUGUAUAUCGGAUUUUCAUCAUCCACCGGUUCUGUUUUCUCGUCCCAGUAUGUGUUGGGUUGGAGCUUCAAGAUGAAUGGCCUAGCUGAAGCCCUAAAUAUCUCUCGCCUUCCUAAGCUUCCUCGCAUAGGACCAAAGAAGACAUCCAAAUUCUUAACCAUUGGACUGCCUGUGCUCUGUUUAAGUUUGGUUUUAGUAGCAGUCUCGAGUAUAACUUAUGCCAUACGAAGGACAAGGAAGUUUGCAGAAGUGCUAGAAGAUUGGGAGCUCGACUAUGGGCCUCACCGAUUUAAAUUCAAAGAUCUUUAUACUGCCACCAAAGGAUUUAGAGACGAGGAGCUGUUGGGUAGUGGUGGAUUUGGUAGAGUCUACAAAGGUGUCUUGCCAACCUCGAAGAUUCAGAUUGCAGUGAAAAGGGUGUCUCAUGAAUCAAGACAGGGGAUGAGGGAAUUUGUGGCGGAAAUUGUCAGCAUUGGUCGCCUUCGUCACCGGAAUUUAGUCUCUCUCUUGGGGUACUGCCGGCGUAAAGGAGAGCUACUUUUGGUAUAUGACUACAUGCCUAAUGGAAGUCUAGACAAACACCUCUAUGACCAACCACCAGUCGCCCUCAAUUGGAGCCAAAGAUUUAGAGUCAUCAAAGGCGUAGCUUCAGGGCUAUUAUAUCUACAUGAAGAAUGGGAGCAAGUUGUGAUUCAUAGAGAUGUCAAGGCUAGUAAUGUCUUGCUAGAUGAUGAAUUGAAUGGAAGAUUAGGGGAUUUUGGCCUUGCAAGAUUGUAUGACCAUGGAACAGAUCCUCAAACGACCCACGUUGUCGGAACUCUUGGGUAUCUCGCACCUGAGCAUGCACGAACUGGGAAGGCCACGACAAGCACUGAUGUGUUCGCUUUUGGGGUCUUCUUGCUUGAGGUUGCUUCUGGUAGAAGGCCAAUACAGCCAACUGAGGAUAUAAUCUUGGUUGAUUGGGUGUUUAUUCGAUGGCUUGGAGGUGAAAUUCUGGAGGCAAGGGAUCCCAAUUUGGGUACAGAAUAUAUUGCAGAGGAAAUGGAAUUGGUAUUGAAACUUGGUUUGAUGUGCUCUCAUUCUGAGCCUGCAGCAAGGGCAAGCAUGCGCCAAGUAGUGCAGUUCUUAGAGGGGAAUGUUCCUCUGCCUGACAUUUCACCACUUCGUCUUUCUUCAAGUGGCCUAACAUUUUCACAUCGUGAAGGUUUUGAUGACUUUGCCAAUUCUUAUCCUUGUUUUAUGGAUAAGGCAUGUGCACAUUUGUCCUCGGUUCCAGAGUCCCUCCUUUCAGGUGGCCGUUAAUUCUUGCGUUUCUUCAAGGACCUUGUUGAAUUAAUGUCUCAGAAGCUGCUGAUGUGGAAGAUGGAAGAGUUUAGAAUCAAAUAAAACUCAUGCUGGUUUGAAGUUUUAAGAGUUUGUACGGAUUUGCAUAAUCUUCUUUUAUGUUAUGUAACAAACAGCAGCAGAUAUUGCUGCUGUUUUUUUGCUUUUGCUGUUGUAAGAAGUGUUUAAAGAAGACUUCUGAUAAUCAAUAAAAUUAACGAAGUUUUCAGAAUAGCUUUGUUCUGUGUUAACAUUUACAAUUUAUUCUGUCAAAAACUAUCAGACCUUAUCAAGAACUCAUGUAAGAUCUAUUUGGUGAAUCAGAGGAGUUCCUGUAUGCAAUACAUUACCUUAUGAGUGGGUUUUUUUUUAAAAAAAAAAUAUUAUGUAGUAAACUGCCUUUAGGAGAUGUACAUGAAAGAUCACCUGCAAAACAAUGAUGCAAAUUAGAUAAAAUGCAUAACACGGCGUCUCUCCCUUUUGUUUAUGUUGAUGUAUCACAUAAGAAAGCAAACGUGGUAACAAAUCAUGAAGCUCGAGGUAAUGUUUAAAAGACAUGCAUAGUUAUAGUUGGAAGUAGUACAAGAAUUACUCUGUUAAAUUUUUAAAAUAUAAUUUAUAUUAUUAUUUAAUAUAAUUUUCUGAGUAAAAAAAAUUUUAGCUUUAAAUUUACACCAAUUUAUUUUAUUUUAUAUUUUAUUUUAUUAUAUAAAUAAAAAUAAUAAAAUUUAAACUCAAGACUAUUUUGUUAUCAAAAUUCUGAUAACAUAUUAAAAAAUUAUUAAUUUAUAUUAUUCUACUCCACUUUUUCCUUGAUAAACCGAUCCUCUAUCUUUUAGCAUCAUAAAUAGUCCAGUUAUGCAUCAAUUCUAACUAGCUACGUGUCAGGAUUGAAUAACACAUGACUCGCAUUGACUCGACACGUAGAUAGUAACGUUACGACUAGUCGGUUUAAACUGAAACAACCUUUUCAAUCAUCACUCACUCUUUCCCUAACCUGGAAGACAAGCAACUCAAUAAAACAGAGAAGACCACCAAAAUUACUUGAGUUGUUAUUGGUUUCCUGUUUUGUACCAGGAAAUUAGGACAAACUAAAUUGGUAGCACGCGUUACGUGUUACGCUAUCGGUCAAAACUAGUAUUUCUCAGCGUAAAAAUAGGUAUUCAGGCAAACCUAAUUAAGUCAUUUAAAAAAAAAAUUAAUAUCUGAAACUCAGGUUAUUAACUAACUCCAUAGGAUUCAAUAAAUUAUGAUCCUUUUUGUCAUACUGAUUAGUCCGCAUAACGCAGAUUCUCCUUUAACUUACUCGUUCUUUAUUUUCACAUUUCAAAAACAUUUAAAAAAUAAAUAAACUUUUUAUUUAUUUUCUCUUUUACUUUAAAUUAAUAUUUUUAGUUUAUUUUAAUGUUCUAAUAUCAAAAAUAAUUUUUUAAAAAUAAAAAAAUAUAUCAUUUUGAUGUAUUACCAAAUAAAAAGUAUUUUAAAAAGCAAUCUUAACCACACUUCCAAACAGAUUCGGUCCUUAUUCAUAAAUAUUUCUAAAAGCUAUCCGAUUAUAAUAUAUCUACAAUCUAAGUGAUUAAAAUUACAUUGAAAUGUAAUUUAAUUGGUCAAAUUUUAAAUUUAUUUCCUAAAAGUUAUAGUUUGAAUAUCAAAAACCUCAAAAUUACUAAAAACUUAUAUGAUCAUGAAUUUCAAGGUUUUAAAAUAUUAUUCGAUGUACGUUUAAGCUGAUCUGAAUAUCUAUAAAUACCAAAAACAAAGUUACUUGUAUCGCUUGAACUGAAAUCCACAUACCAAAGUAGAUCACGUUUCAAUUUAUUUUAUUAAAUAUUUACAUUAAAUUUCCGGUUCAUAUAUAUAUAUAUAUAUAUAUAUAUAUAUGCUAGAAAAUGCUUUGAAAAUUAAAGUGUGUAUUUGCCUUAAUAAAAACUUUUUCACCCGACUCACUCAACAGGCCAGUAGUUACUAGACGAGGCAGCAGUAAAUUAAUCCCAUGAUAAAUUUAUGUUAAUGUGUAUAAAUUUUAAUCCAAUUGUUAGAUCAACUGUAAAAUUUGCUAGAAGCUUCCAGAGACCUUGGUUUCUUUAGGGUUAAAUUUUGAAGCAAUUGAUUAGGAGAUAAAUAAUUUUAGGUUGCUUGUUCUUCUAUCUUUCUUGAUCUUGUGUUGCUUCCAUUUGCUCUUAAUGUGGAACUGGGCUCGGUGGGCACCAUUCAAUUGAAUUUCAGGUUCUCUUGAAAUUCCUACUUGGAAGUGGGAAUACAUUCUAUACAUACAGAAACUUCAGAGAUGAAAAAUCCCUCCUUGAUAACAAUAUCCCAUUCCACUCACUGACAAAAGUUUGCAAGAUUCCUCUCUUUCUUUAUCAUUUUCUUUCCGUUGAUCCAAGCAAGUUCAGUUCAAGAUUUGAAACAAGACUUCUUAUAAUCGUUGAACAAUUAUGCCGACAUUUUUGGACCCUAUAAAUUUUAUGACUUGUGUGUUUUGCGUUUGCCCAAUUAAAGACAACCCAUAGUGAAUGACAUGAAAAGAGAAGAAAAUGAUAGCAGACAACAUUCAUAAUGGGGAGAAGGAUGUAUGGGCACACAUGGGCCAUAUAGAUUAGUUAUGUAAAUAGUAAUGGUGAACCAUUAAAUUUAAAUGGAAUCUGUCUUCUCAGAUGAAUAUUUCGUACAUGCCUAGCAGAUGUGCUUUUAGUAGUAUUACCUGUCCAUAAAAAAUAUCUAAAGGUGCAGAGGAUCUAGUUGAUGAUAGUAGCUGGAAGAGGGAAGACAGUUAUCCAGAAUUGAACUAUACCGAAGAGAAUAGUUUUCAAAAGCUCCAAUCAACCAGCAUAUGAGAGAUUUUUACCUCCAGUUCUAAAUUAUCGACUCUAAUUUGAAUAAAAAAAAGAGAAAAAAUGACUUGUCAAUAGCCUAUGAGGACUAAGAGGAAAACCCAAAUAUGUUAAGGGAAAGGAUCCUUAUUUAAAUCAAGAAUCAUGAAGAAGAGCCAGCUUCAAGUCAAUUCUCUCCUCUUUCCUUCAUUAAAGCAAUCUUAUUGCGUGGAAGGGUAGUGGAGAAUGUUUUUUAUUUUUUUAUUUAUAAAUAUAUUAAAAUAAUUUUUAAAUUUUAUUUAUUACAUUAAUAUAUCAAAAAUAAUAUAAAAACACUAGAAAAAUCAUUUAAAUUUAAUUAAAAAAUAUGUUUAACCUAACCGUGAAAUUUCAUGAAAGAGUUGCUGAAAUUGACUAGUUUUUCAUAUUGCCUUAAAAUUAGGGGUCUUGUGCUUUCACAUCAACCUGAAAGUUUGACAAGUUAGAUUAUCUCAACCAUGCAAAUAUUCUCUGCAUUGUUUCAUUAAUUGGCUCUCUCAUUAAGAUACAUUUAUUUCACGGAAAAUGAUUUUUUAAUUGUUUUUUUUUUUAAUAUAGAAAAUAAAAAAUACUAUAUUAUUUACUGAUUUUAUUAAAUUUGAUUUUCAUAUAUUUUAUUUUGAUUUGUUUUUAAUUUUAUCAUUUAAAAUUUAAUUUAAUUUGAUUUUUAAAUGAACUUUGGAUUUUAUUUUUAGAAUUGUUAUUUGUUUUUCUCUUAUUAUUUUCUUUAUUAAAAAUUUGUUCUUAUCAAAUUUGAUCAUUACUUUUUUUUAUUAUUUAUUUAUUUAAAAUAAUUUAUGAAAUUAUAAUUUGUUGUUAAGUUCAUAAUCUUUCAACUUUUUUAUAUGUUAUAUUUGAUCUUUAUUAUUUUGAUUGUUAUUUAUUUUAUUUGAGAUAAUUUAUAAAAUUAGAUUUUUUUAAAAUUUUAUUGUCAUUCAACUUUUUAAUUUAUAAGAUUUGUUUCUAAUUAUUUUAAUUAAAAAAAUAUUAACAAUUUAUUUUUAAGUUUAUUUUCCAUAACCUAGUCUAAACACUUAAGAGUAUUUUUUAAUUUAGUUUUUAUAUAUUACUAAAUAUUAAAAAAAACAUUCACUUCUCAUAAAAUUAUUUUUUUAAAAAAAUAAUUUUUCAACAAACAACCAGACUAACUCCUGAAUUACGUGGAUACUCCAUUAUAACUGACAAACAUGAACAAGAAACUGGUGGGUGGAGACAAAUACAGUCGCAAUGUUAUUCAGGAUCGUCUUCUUGGUGCGUGUCUUCGUUAGCUUAGCAAUAGCAGCCUCUCAAGAUCUAAACUUCACCUUCUCUGGCUUCCGAUCCACUAAUCUAAGCCUUGACGGCUUAGCUGAGUUAACCUCCAAUGGCCUUUUGAGGCUAACGAAUAUAACCUACCACCGAACGAGUCACGCCUUCUAUCCAAACCCAGUAACCUUCAAGAACUCUAUAAAUAGCACAGCUUCCACCUUCUCCACUACCUUUGUUUUCGCUAUCAUACCUGAAUAUCCAACUCUUGGCGGCCAUGGUUUUGCCUUUGUCAUUGCACCCACAAGAGGUCUCCCAGGAGCUGUUCCAAACCAGUACCUUGGUCUAUUUAAUGAGACCAACAAUGGGAAACAGACCAACCAUGUUGUUGCUGUGGAGCUUGACACGAUAUACAACAUCGAGUUCGAUGAUAUCAAAGAUGACCAUGUUGGGAUUGAUAUUAAUGGUUUAAAGUCUGAACGAUCUGCUUCACCAGGAUAUUAUUCUCAACUUAAUGGUAAGCUCACAAACUUGACACUAAUUAGUGGCCAUCCAAUGCAAGUUUGGAUCGAAUAUGAUGGCAUGGAGAAGCAAAUGAAUGUCACUAUAGCUCCGAUUGAUGUUGAUAAACCCAGUAGACCACUUUUGACUCUGUCUCGUGAUUUGUCGCCAAUCUUAAACAAUAGUAUGUAUAUCGGAUUCUCAUCAUCCACCGGUUCUUUUUCUGCGUCCCAGUAUGUGUUGGGUUGGAGCUUCAAGAUGAAUGGCCUAGCUGAAGCGCUAAAUAUCUCUCGCCUUCCUAAACUUCCUCGCGUAGGACCAAAGAAGACAUCCAAAUUCUUAACCAUUGGACUGCCUGUGCUCUGUUUAAGUUUGGUUUUAGUAGCAGUCUCGGGUAUAUCUUAUGCCAUACGAAGGACAAGGAAGUUUGCAGAAGUGCUAGAAGAUUGGGAGCUUGACUAUGGGCCUCACCGAUUUAAAUUCAAAGAUCUUUAUACUGCCACCAAAGGAUUUAGAGACGAGGAGCUGUUGGGUAGUGGUGGAUUUGGUAGAGUCUACAAAGGUGUCUUGCCAACCUCGAAGAUUCAGAUUGCAGUGAAAAGGGUGUCUCAUGAAUCAAGCAGGGGAUGAGGGAAUUUGUGGCGGAAAUUGUCAGCAUUGGUCGCCUUCGUCACCGGAAUUUAGUCCCUCUCUUGGGGUACUGCCGGCGUAAAGGAGAGCUACUUUUGGUAUAUGACUACAUGCCUAAUGGAAGUCUAGACAAAUACCUCUAUGACCAACCAGCAGUCGCCCUCAAUUGGAGCCAAAGAUUUAGAGUCAUCAAAGGCGUAGCUUCAGGGCUAUUAUAUCUACAUGAAGAAUGGGAGCAAGUUGUGAUUCAUAGAGAUGUCAAGGCUAGUAAUGUCUUGCUAGAUGGUGAAUUGAAUGGAAGAUUGGGGGAUUUUGGCCUUGCAAGAUUGUAUGACCAUGGAACAGAUCCUCAAACGACCCACGUUGUCGGAACUCUUGGGUAUCUCGCACCUGAGCAUGCACGAACUGGAAGGCCACGACAAGCACUGAUGUGUUCGCUUUUGGGGCCUUCCUGCUUGAGGUUGCUUCUGGUAGAAGGCCAAUACAGCCAACUGAGGAUAUAAUCUUGGUUGAUUUGGUGUUUAGUCGAUGGCUUGGAGGUGAAAUUCUGGAGGCAAGGGAUCCCAAUUUGGGCACAGAAUAUAUUGCAGAGGAAAUGGAAUUGGUAUUGAAACUUGGUUUGAUGUGCUCUCAUUCUAAGCCUGCAGCAAGGCCAAGCAUGCGCCAAGUAGUGCAGUUCUUAGAGGGGAAUGUUCCUCUGCCUGACAUUUUACCACUUCGUCUUUCUGCAAGUGGCCAAAAAUUUGCACAUCGUGAAGGUUUUGAUGACUUUGCCUAUUAUUAUCCUUCUUCUAUGGACAAGGCAUCUGCACAUUCGUCCUUGGUUGCAGAGUCCCUCCUUUCAGGUGGCCGUUAAUUCUUACUUGUCUUCCAGGACCUGUUGAAUUAAUGUCUCAGAAGCUGCUGAUGUGGAAGAUGGAAAGUUUACAGUCAAAUAAAACUCAUGUUGGUUUGAAGUUUCAAAAGUUUGUAAGGAUUUGCAUAAUCUUCUUUUCUGUUAUGUAACAACACAGCAGAUAUUGCUGCUGUUUAUUUGCUUUUGCUGUUUUAAGAAGUGUUUAAAUAAGACUUCUGAUAAUCAAUAAGAUUAACGAAGUUUUCAGAAUAGCUUUGUUCUCUGUUAACAUUUACAAUUUAUUCUGUCAAAAACUAUCAGACCAUAUGAGUGGAUUUUUUUAUUAAAAAAAACUAUGUAGUAAACUGCCUUUAGGAGAUGUACAUGAAAGAUCACCUGCAAAACAAUGAUGCAAAUUCAAUAAAAUUCAAUUAAAUUAUUAAAUAAAAUUCUAAAAUAUAAUUAAUAUUAUUCUACCUCACUUAUUCAUUAAUAAACCGAUCCUCUAUUUUUGAGCAUUAUAAAUAGUCCAGUUCUGCAUCAAUUCUAACUAGCUACGUGUCAGAUUGAAUAACACAUGACUGGCAUAGACUCUAUACAUAGAUAGCAACGUUACGACUGGUUGUGUUAAACUGAAACAACCUUUUCAAUCCUCACUAUCACUCUUUCCCUAGCCUGGAAGACAAGCAACUCAAUAAAACAGAGAAGACCAUCAAAAUUACUUGUGUUGUUAUUGUUUUCCAGUUUUGUACCAGGAAAUUAGGACAAACUAAAUUGGCAGCACGCGUUACGUGUUAUGCUAUCGGUCAAAACAAGUAUUUUUCAAUUGUAACGGAGCUAGAAUAUUUUAAAUGAAGGUGCAAAUUAAUUAAUAAAUAUAUACUAUAUUAUAUAAAUAUACUUAAAAUUUAAUUUUAAAUAAAUAUACUAACUCAUAUAAAGCAAAACUAAUUUAAAAAUACUUUUAAAAUGAAAAAACUUACAUUAUAAUUAUUCUCUUUAAGUUUUCAUAAUAACAAAAUUCAGUUCAGUUAUACAAUAAUUGUAAAUAUUCCAUAUGAAAUUUAUAAUACAAUACACAUUAAUUCAUCAAAAUGCAUGGAUAUAGAUCAGCAUUGAUAGUUUAAAUUUAUCAUGAUAGAUUAUUUUUAAAAACAAAAAAAUAGUUUUAUUUUAAAAAAAAACUAAAAUUUAAUUUUGCAAAUAUUAAUCUUUACUCACUGACAACAAUUGAAAUGUUUGCUUGUUUAUCUUGUGAAAAAAAAAAUUUCAUAUCAUAAUUAAUUCAAUUAAAAUUAUAUUAUUUACUGAUUUUAUUAAAUUUGAUUUUUAAAUUUUUCAUUGUUAUGUAUUUUGUUUUGAUUUUUUUUAAUUUCAUCAUUGUUGCUACCCAAUUUUUGACCUAUGUUUUGAUAAAUUUUUUAAAAAAUCUAAAAAUAGAGAAAAACAAUGAAAAUAAAAAAAUAUAUAUGUUUUUUAAUAUAUUUGCAUCAUUUUUAGCAUUUUCAGCGUCGUCUAAAAAAGAAUUUAAAUUUUAAAGGGUAUUUCAAAUGCGUUCGACUUUUCACACAUCAUUUUUAAAAUCUUUGAUUUUCCUCAUCGAGUCGACGUUGAUAUUGCUUGUUUUCAAAAAAUACAAAAAAAUCAAAAAAAAUCAAAAUUUACAAAAACAGAAGAAAUUGAGGGACCAAUUUUGAAAACCUAGCAAUAUUUAUGCCUAUAAAUACUGGUUUCCUCAACACACUCAAAGGGGGGGUAAUUUUGAAAUAUCAGAAAAAUCACAAAAAACCCUAAUGCUAAACUUAUCUCUACCCAAAAAAAAAAGAACACAGCCCCCCCCCCACCCUUUGCUUUUUUUGACACCGGCCAAACAACCCCCCAAAACCCCCCGGAUUAUUUUUUUUUCUUCUUCCUUUCUCCCUCACCAGCAGCCACACUCUCAGCCCCUCACUCCACAGCUGCCGGUCACCAGACCUCUCUCCCCCUCAGCCGUUCCUUCUUCCCUUGGCUAACAACACCACCACAACUCCCUUUUUUUUUUCCUCUGAUUUUCUCCACCCGGCCGGCCAAACGACAGCAGCAACAAGAUCUGCCAUCGGCAGAAGAAGAAACCCACCGCUGGAAACAAAGAACAACGGGGAAACAGUAGCAGCGACGGCCCCAUCCUCGUGCAGCAGCGCCGUGUUCCUCCAGUAGCAGCAAUCGGGCAACGAACAGAGCCCAUCACAGCGGCGACCGAGCUCCUCCAGCACGCUCACAGACCCCGAUCGGUCCAUUCCUCCGCCUAAACAUCGACAGCAAUCCCCUCUCCAUUGUGGUUUCAGCCGCCGGACGGACGACAGUAGCAACGACCACAGCCGCGACCCCCUUUGCAUCGCCACCCGAUCUGGCACCCGAAGUAGAGGAGAAGAAGACGGAACCCCUAACGAACUGACCCGGGGAGAAGAUGAUCUGAAGAAGGAGAAGAAGGAGUAGAUCGGAGAAAAAAAAACAAAAAAAAAACAACUGUUUGUUGCGUUUCUUGGCUUUGCAGGUGACAUACCUCUCACCACCGACAGGGAAUGCUGAGAAGAAGACGAUCCAUACACCCCUGGUUUGCCCGGUUUUCCAGCGGCGGCGCGUGAACCCACGCGCCGCCAGUGGCGAUGGCGUGUGGGAAGACGCACCGCUACUGUUCAGGCAACUCCAAAAAAAAAUUUCCUGAAUUUUAGGGACUAUUCUGUAAUUUUUCAAUUAUUUGAUGUAAUUUUUGUUUAGUUGUUUUGAAUUGGUAAUUUGUAAUGUGAUGUACAAAAAGAACAAAAAAAAAGAAAAAGAAAAGAAAAGAAACAAAUAUAGUGAAAGUGUAUGUGUGUUGGUAUUUGUUUUAUCAUUUGUUUUAUUUUUUUAUGAAAAAAUUGCAAAGAUUAAGGAAGAAUUUAAUAUUUUGAUUGGAUCACGGUCAAGAAUUAUUAACUUAUACGUAAGUUGUAUUUCUAAUAUCCGAUGAAAAGAUAAAAUUUUAAAACUUCUUUAACACGUCAAAGUCAUGAAGCAGCUUACUUCAGGUAGGGUGCGUUAGGGGUGCUAAUACCUUCCCUAAUCACAACCAGUCCCUUACCCGUGAAUCUCUAACAAGACCAGUACAUCCAGUUUCCUACUAGCCUUUAAUAAAUUACUAGGUGGCGACUCCCAAUGAAUCAAUUCAAGCAAACGCAACAACGAGAAAAAAUUGCCAGCUCGAUGCCGCGCGGAUUUUUUUCGACGUGCGACAAUCAUUUAGAAUUUAAUUUCAUUUGAUUUUUAUAUAAACUUUGGUCUUUAUUUUUAUGAUUGUCGCACGUGUGCGGCGGCGCGACGAUCGUCCACCCUCAAGGAAAAAUCGGAAUAUUUAUUUCUUGAAAAUAGGGAGAGACAAGGAAUUCUUGUCUCUACAAGUGAAAAUAUGGACUGGGAGUCGCCACCUAGUAUUCGGGUUACUAGGAACCUUAACUGGUCUUUAGAGAUCGGGUACGGAGACUAGUUGCGUAAAGGGAAGGUAUUAGCACCCCAACUACGCCCUACCGAAGGUAGGCUGCAUUGUUUUAAUGUCUGAUAAAAUCUAAGGUCGUGUUUGUGGUUUUUUUUGUUCGGAAUACGCAUUACAUGUAAUGUCAUACCCCAGGUCUUAUUGUAAAAAAAAUGAAACAUCCGGAAUUUAAAUAUCUGGAAUAUGUAUUACGUAUAAUGUCAUAUCCCGGAUAUUAAAAAAAAAAAAAUUUAUUGUUUUUGAAAUUUUGGCCAAUGUUCUCUUGACUUUAAUAAACUGGUUAUUAAAGCCAAAAUGCAUGCUAAAAUAUUUUUUUUUUUUACAUAUGAAAAAUACGAUAUGAUUUUGUAGAUUUGAGACACUUGGUUGUAUGCACAAAAACAUUUUUUUCUCUUUUUUUCAAUUUUCAAUUUUUUUUUUAUUUUUGGAAGUUUUUGCCGAAAACCAGGUAUUUUAAUAUCAGAUUUUGUAUUUUUAACAACAUAAAAAAUACCACCAAAUAUUAAUCAAAAUGACAUAAAAAUUACACGGAAAAAUUAUAAAAUGCUGAAACAAAUAUUUUUGAUUUUUUUCUUUGAAAUGGGCCGGAUUAGGCCCAAAUAUAUGGGCUGGGCCGAACCUGGCCCAAAGCAUGGGCUGGUUACUGUGCACAUAGUAACCGGGUUACUGUGUGUACAGUACCAGAGAAUUAAUCUGCGGGUUACUGUGCACAUGCACAGUAAUCGUGAAUUAAUUAGCGAGUUACUGUGCACAAAAAACGACGGGAAAGGCUACCUGCGGUGGUGAUGUUGGACUCUCUUCUCUGCUUCUUCUUCUUCUGCUUUCUUCUCUCUGUCUCUCCCUUCUUUCUCUUCUCUCCUUUUUUUUUUUUUUUUUAGCAGCCCUCCCCUGUAUUUAUAGGAAAAAACAGGGGAGGCGUCAUGGUGGUGGCCGCCGCCCCUCCACUAUCGAUCCGUGGAUAAAAGGAGGAGGCAAGUGGGUGAUUGCGGGCGUCUUAUUGCGCCAAAUCCGGGUGAGAAAUUAGGUGAAAAGGGGAAGAAAAAAUCUUCUUCUUCCCCUGCCUCGCGCGUCCAGGGGAAGAAGAAGAGCUACAGUGCCGUCAAAACGGCACCGUUUUGGGCUUCUGUUUUUUUUUUUUUUUUUUUAGCAACAGUGAAUGAAACGGCGCCGUUUUGGUCAAAACGCGCCGUUUCAUUUAAAAGGAAAAGGCGCCAAAAGCAUCAGAUUCAAAUUUCGGCCCUCCAUUUGCGCGCGUUUUACAAUUUAGUCCUUGGUCUCGGAUUUCUUCAAUUCAGUCCCUAAUUGGCCAUUAAACCUCAAUAUUUAUGCAAUUAAGCCCCUGAUUUGACCAAAUUAACUUCCAAAAAUUAUAAUUUGACCCUAGAAAAUUAAUUUCUCCUAAUUAAAGCCCAAAUUAACUCCAAAAUCAAUUUUUCUUGCAAUUAAAAUCUUCAUAAAUGCAAUUAAACCUUUAAUAAAAUUUAAUUGAGUCCAUAAACUUCUGAUUUUGCAUUUUUCUUCCACAAAUUGAAUUUUCUUUAUCAUCGGGGCUCUCAUCAGUCAAUGAUAUACUGUCAAAAAUUAAUUUUUGAUUUUUGAACAUCCUCAAUCAAUUUUUGAGCAUUUUUAGGGCGCUCUAGCAUUUUUUCACUGUUAUAUUUUUUGAUAAUAUAUUUUUUGAAUUUUUUUGUAUUUUAUUUUUUUUUAUGUGGGGACCCAAAAAUGGGUUACAACAAUGAUAAUUAUUUGUUUUUCUUUUAUUAUUUUCUUUAUUAAAAUUUUUUAUCUAUCAAAUUUGGUCAUCACUUUUUUAUUAUUAUUUAUUUUAUGUAAAAUAAGUUACGAAAUUGUAAUUUGUUUUUAAGUUCUUCAUCUUUCAACUUUUUUAUAUGUUAUAUUUGAUCUCUAUUAUUUUGAUUGUUAUUUAUUUUAUUUGAAAUAAUUUAAAAAAUUAGAUUAUUUUUUUAAUUUUAUUGUCAUUUAACUUUUUAAUUUGUAAGAUUUGUUUCUAAUUAUUUUAAUAAAAAUAUAUUAACAAUUUAUUUUCCAGCUCAUUUUCAAUCAUAUAGUCCAAACACUGAAAAAUAUUUUUUAUUUUUUUAUUUAUUACUAAAUAUUAAAAAUAAACAUUCACUUCUAAUAAAUUUAAUUUAAAAAAAAAUUAUUUUUCAACAAACAAACAGCAUAACUCUCCUAAAUUACGUGGAUACUCCAUUAUAACUGACAAACAUGAACAAGAAACUGGUGGGUGGAGACAAAUACAGUUGCAAUGUUAUUCAGGAUCGUCUUCUUGGUCCGUGUCUUCGUUAGCUUAGCAAUAGCAGCCACUCAAGAUCUCAACUUCACCUUCUAUGGCUUCCGAUCUACUAAUCUAAGCCUUGACGGCUUAGCUGAGUUAACCUCCAAUGGCCUUUUGAGGCUAACCAAUGUAACCUACCACCGAACGAGUCACGCCUUCUAUCCAAACCCAGUAACCUUCAAGAACUCUAUAAAUAGCACUGCUUUCACCUUCUCCACUACCUUUGUUUUCGCUAUCAUACCUGAAUAUCCAACUCUUGGCGGCCAUGGUUUUGCCUUUGUCAUUGCACCCACAAGAGGUCUCCCAGGAGCUGUUGCAAACCAGUACCUUGGUCUAUUUAAUGAGACCAACAAUGGGAAACUGACCAACCAUAUUGUUGCUGUGGAGCUUGACACGAUAAACAACAGCGAGUUCAAUGAUGUCAAUGAUAACCAUGUUGGGAUUGAUAUUAAUGGUUUAGAGUCUGAACAAUCAGAUUCAGCUGGAUAUUACUCUCAACUUAAUGGUAAGCUCACAAACUUGACACUAAUUAGUGGCCAUCCAAUGCAAGUUUGGAUGGAAUAUGAUGGCAUGGAGAAGCAACUUAAUGUCACUAUAGCUCCGAUUGAUGUUGAUAAACCCAGUAGACCACUUUUGACUUUGUCUCGUGAUUUGUCGCCAAUCUUAAACAGUAGUAUGUAUAUCGGAUUCUCAUCAUCCACCGGUGCUUUUACCGCGUCCCAGUAUGUGUUGGGUUGGAGCUUCAAGAUGAAUGGCCUAGCUGAAGCACUACAUAUCUCUCGCCUUCCUAAACUUCCUCGCGUAGGACCAAAGAAGACAUCCAAAUUCUUAACCAUUGGACUGCCUGUGCUCUGUUUAAGUUUGGUUUUAGUAGCAGUCUCGGGUAUAUCUUAUGCCAUACGAAGGACAAGGAAGUUUGCAGAAGUGCUAGAAGAUUGGGAGCUUGACUAUGGGCCUCACCGAUUUAAAUUCAAAGAUCUUUAUACUGCCACCAAAGGAUUUAGAGACGAGGAGCUGUUGGGUAGUGGUGGAUUUGGUAGAGUCUACAAAGGUGUCUUGCCAACCUCGAAGAUUCAGAUUGCAGUGAAAAGGGUGUCUCAUGAAUCAAGACAGGGGAUGAGGGAAUUUGUGGCGGAAAUUGUCAGCAUUGGUCGCCUUCGUCACCGGAAUUUAGUCUCUCUCUUGGGGUACUGCCGGCGUAAAGGAGAGCUACUUUUGGUAUAUGACUACAUGCCUAAUGGAAGUCUAGACAAACACCUCUAUGACCAACCACCAGUCGCCCUCAAUUGGAGCCAAAGAUUUAGAGUCAUCAAAGGCGUAGCUUCAGGGCUAUUAUAUCUACAUGAAGAAUGGGAGCAAGUUGUGAUUCAUAGAGAUGUCAAGGCUAGUAAUGUCUUGCUAGAUGGUGAAUUGAAUGGAAGAUUAGGGGAUUUUGGCCUUGCAAGAUUGUAUGACCAUGGAACAGAUCCUCAAACGACCCACGUUGUCGGAACUCUUGGGUAUCUCGCACCUGAGCAUGCACGAACUGGGAAGGCCACGACAAGCACUGAUGUGUUCGCUUUUGGGGUCUUCUUGCUUGAGGUUGCUUCUGGUAGAAGGCCAUUACAGCCAACUGAGGAUAUAAUCUUGGUUGAGUGGGUGUUUGGUCGAUGGCUUGGAGGUGAAAUUCUGGAGGCAAGGGAUCCCAAUUUGGGCACAGAAUAUAUUGCAGAGGAAAUGGAAUUGGUAUUGAAACUUGGUUUGAUGUGCUCUCAUUCUAAGCCUGCAGCAAGGCCAAGCAUGCGCCAAGUAGUGCAGUUCUUAGAGGGGAAUGUUCCUCUGCCUGACAUUUCACCACUUCGUCUUUCUUCAAGUGGCCAAAAUUUUGCACAUUUUGAAGGUUUUGAUGAGUUUGCCAAUUCUUAUCCUUCUUCUACGGACAAGGCAUUUGCACAUUCGUCCUCGGCUACAGAGUCCCUCCUUUCAGGUGGCCGUUAAUUCUUGCUUUUCUUCAAGGAUUGUUACAUAAUCUUCUUUUCUGUUAUGUAACAAACAGCAGCAGAUAUUGCUGAUGUUUAUUUGCGUUUACUGUUUAUGAAGUGUUUAAAUAAGACUUCUGAUAAUCAAUAAGAUUAACGACGUUUUCAGAAUAGCUUUGUUCUCUGUUAACAUUUACAAUUUAUUCUGUCAAAAACUAUCAGACCUUAUCAAGAACUCAUGUAAGAUCUAUUUAGUUGGAAGUAUUCCAGCAACUUAUUGAAAUAAUUUAUUAAAUUUAUAAUAUUUUAAAAUAUAAUUUAUAUUAUUAUUUAAAAUAUUUUAUUAAAUAAAAAUUCUUUAAACUUGAAAUUUAUAUAAAUUAUAAAUUAGGAUAAUGAGAUUCAAAUUAUUUUAAUUUAAUAAUAUAAAUUAUUAAAUAAAAUUAUCUUCAAAACUCUACUUUAUUUUCAAAACUCUGAUAAUAUAUUAAAAAAUUAUCUUAAUUUAAUAAUUUAAAUUAUUAAAUAAAAUUUUAAAAUAUAAUUUAUAUUAUUGUAUACCUAAAACUUAUUCUUUAAUAAACCGAUUCUCUAUUUUUGAGCAUUAUAAAUAGUCUAGUUAUGCAUCAAUUCUAACUAGCUACGUGUCAGGAUUGAAUACCACAUGACCGGCAUUGACUCUAUACAUAGAUAGUAACGUUACGAUUAGUCGGGUUAAACUGAAACAACCUUUUCAAUCAUCACUAUCACUCUUUCCCUAACCUGGAAGACAUGCAACUCAAUAAAACAGAGAAGACCACCAAAAUUACUUGUGUUGUUAUUGUUUUCCUGUUUUGUACCAGCAAAUUAGGACAAACUAAAUUGGUAGCACGCGUUACGUGUUACGCUAAUAUAUAUAUAUAUCUGAAACUCAGGUUAUUAACUAACUCCAUAGUCCAUAGGAUUCAAUAAAUUAUGAUCCUUUUUGUCAUCCUGAUUAGUCCACAUAAAGCAGAUUCUUCUUUAACUUAGUCACUUAGUUGCUGUUUGUUUUUGUAUUUUAAAUUAAUAUUUUUUAGUAUUUUUAUUUUAUUUUAUUUUAACAUGCUGAUAUUAAAAAUAUUUUUUAAAAAAUAAAAAAUAUAUAUCAUUUUGAUAUAUUUCCGAAUGAAAAAUACUUUAAAAAGCAACCACAACCACACUCUCAAACAAACUAUAACCUUAUCCAUAAAUAUUUCUAAAAGCUAUCCGGUUAUAAUAUAUCCAUAAUCUGAGUGCGCUCACGCAAUUGGUUGCUGCAGUAAAAAAAAAAAACCCUCCAUGCAGCAGCAUUUACCCCAUUUCAUGAGGGACGUCGUGUCCACCUUUCUUUAUCCAUCCACGACGUCUAACCACCCCACCAUUCCUAAUAACUACCCUAAAUCGCUAAUCCUCUCUCUCCCUCUCUCUUACAUACACUCUGUCGCACCCCAAAAAAUCAUCCGGCGCGUGGCAUCGGCUGGCGAUUUAUCUCGUUUUUGCGUUUGCUUUGAAUUGGUUCGUUGGAGUCGCCACCUAGUAAUUUAUUGAGGGCUACUAGGAUACCUGAUGUACUGGUCUUGUCAGAGAUCGCGGGUAAGGGACUGGUUGUGGUUAGGGAAGAUAUUAGCACCCCUAACACACCCUACCUGAGGUAAGCUGCUUUGUGUUCUGAUGUGAUUGGAAAAUUUAAAAUAUUAAUUAAAUUCUAAGGCUUGAAUAAAUCAGUUAUUAAAUCCCCGAAUAUAUGUAAAAACUUGUUCUUAUAUUUUCAUGGAAAAUACAACUUGAUUUUAUUUGUCCUUGAAAUAUUUAACCAUAUUCAAGAAAAAUUUAAAAUAUUAAUUAAAUUCUAAGGCUUGAAUAAAUCAGUUAUUAAAUCCCCGAAUAUAUGUAAAAAAACUUGUUCUUACAUUUUCGUGGAAAAUAUAACUUGAUUUUAUUUGUCCUUGAGAUAUUUAACUAUAUUUAAAUUUAACAAAUAAUUAUUUUUGUGUUUUUUUUUAUUUUUUAUAAUUCAAUAACAUAAAUAAAAAAAAGCAAACACACACAAACAUUUUUUUUCUUUUUUUUUAUUAUCACUUUCUCUUUCUUUUCUUUUUUUUUCUUUUACAUCCCUAUUUACAAAGUACAAAUUUAAAAUAAAUAAACAAAAAUUACAUUAAAACUUUAAAAUUUACAAAAUGGUCCCUAAAAACUCCGGAAAUUACAGGAAAGGACUUCAGGGGCUGCAUGAACAGUGACGGUGCGUCUUCCCACGCGCCGCGCCACUGGCGGUGCGUGGAUUCACGCGCCGCAGCAGGGAAAGAAACUGGAUGCAGUGGAUCACGACCGGCUUCUCUUUAUGUCCUCCUAAACCAUCUGUGACCUGUGGAACGAGAAGAGAAACUCAACAACAGUCGAUUUUAGUUUUUUUUUUAUUUCCUUUUGUUUCACUUCUGUUUUAUGUCUUCUUUUUGCUUCGUUUCUUCUUUGUUGGUUGCAGAUCCGGCGAGGGCAGGCUUCGAUGGCCACUGCUGGGCAGUUCUGGCGGCGGGUCUGUGGGCGGUGGCUGCCGAUCUGUGGACGGCGCUGCUGCAUGGGGAACGGAUCUGUGGGGAGUAGCUUCUGCUGUUGGAGGACGCCAUUGAUGGUCUGGAGGAGGAGGAGAUGCAGGUUCGGUCGGCGAUGGACAGGAAGAAACUGAAACGGCCAGCAAGAGGGGAGACUCCUUCGGGUGCAGGGAAGAAGGCCGAGAGAGGGAAGAGACCGGUUCUGCUUGUUCUGCUUUGGCUGCAACCGAGAGAGAGAUGAGGGAAAAAUGGAGGCCGGUUCAGGAGAUGAGUGAAGGAGCUGGGUCCGUGGGGAUGGAAAUGGCUAACGGGAGGAGAGGAAGGGGCUGGUCUGUGUGUUGCUUUUUCUUUGCAAAAGGGAGGGAGCGCCGGUCAGCUUCAACCGGGAAAGAAGAAAAAAAAAAUGGAGGCUUGUCUCACAGCCGGCUCAAAAAAAUCAAAAACAAGGGGGCUGCCUUGGUUUUAUGAUGGUGGCUGCCCGGGAGAAAAAAUGAAAUCCACCGGGGGGGCGCCUGGUUUGGGUGAGCGGCUGCCUUGAAAAAAAGGGUUUAGGUUUAGGUUUUGUAGUUUUUUUGAUGUUGUCAAAAUUACCCCCCCCCUUUUGCAAGUGUUGGAAACCAGUAUUUAUAGGCAAAAAUAUUGCCAAGUUUUUCAACUUGGUCCCUCAACUUCUUUCUUUUUUGUAAAUUUUGAUUUUUCUUAUUUUUUUUGUAUUUUUUGAAAACGAGCAAUAUCAACGUCGACUCAACGAGGAAAAUCAAUGAUUUAAAAAAAAGACGCAUGAAAAGUUGAACGCAUUUGAAAAUCUUUUAAAAAUUUAAAUUUUUUUUUUUAGACGACGUUGAAAAUGCUAAAAUGACGAAAAUAUAUUUAAAACAUAUUUUUUUGGAUUUUCUUUGUUUUUUUCUAUUUUUGAAUUUUUUUGAAAAUAUAUCAAAAACAUGGAUCAAAAAAUGGAUAGAAACAGACUGCACAUACACAAAUUAAUGAUAAUAUACUGUAUGGUGCUGUAAUUUAUACACAUAAUAACUCUAGCUUGAAUGAUUUCCAUGUCAGACCAUUUCCCGUGUCCCCAUACAUAUCAAUAUUAAUUCGUUCCGGCUCUCUCUCUCUCUCUCUCUCUCUCUAUAUAUAUAUAUAUAUAUAUAUAUAUAUAUAUAUAUAUAUAUGAUAGAGAGUCUUGUGAAUCACUAGCUCAAUAAUAUGGAUAGCUUGCUUUGUGAUGAGGUCUGGCUUUCCAGUCCUGCAACUCCCGAUUACCACAUUAAUCAACCACGGUAUAGCCAUGGAGAGACCUACGCAGCUGCUUCCUCAUUCUACACAACCACAAAAGACUGCGAGAAGGCCGUCUCUAUAUACCUGGAGAAGGAGUUCACUUGCAUGCCUGAACCCGGUUACGUAGAACAUCUUCGGACCAAAAAUUUGUUGUUUGCUAGGCUCAGAGCCAUUCAGUGGCUCAUCAAGGUUUUGUUUCUCGACUUGUAUAUAUAUGUAGAAACAUAGUAAUCAACGAGAUUAUUGCUUUUACGUGCAAUUAGUCACAGUCACCCCUCUCAUUAUCCUAUGCAUAUGUAUGUGUUCAGUCUCGUCAAAGGCUCAGUCUCUCUUUCGAAACUGUUUUCAACGCUGCCAAUUACCUUGACCGAUUCAUGUCGAUGAAUCAAUGCCAUGUAAGGGCUCGAAGAUUAGCUCUUAAAUUUUCAUUUAUAUUUUUGUCUUAAACUGUGAGAUUUGAUUAGUUAUUGUCUUAAGAUAACUAAUUAAAUCUUAUGAUCCCGUUGAUGUCCAGGGAUGGAAAUGUUGGAUGGUUGAAUUGCUGUGCGUGGCAUGCUUAUCAGUUGCAUCCAAAUUUACUGAGACACGUACUCCUUGCUUGCAUGAUAUUCAGGUGGUUACUGUUACAUUAAUUACUGUUGGCCUUUCUUGAUUGUUAUACUUUAAUUACUAACCACUAGCUAUUAAUUUAUGCAUCGAUCUGUUCUUGCGAUUAAAUUAAGAUGGAAGACCUCGAUCAUUCAUUCCAACCAAUCACUAUCCAGCGGAUGGAAUUGGUGCUGUUACGGGCUCUAGGUUGGCGCCUUGGCUCUACCACUGCAUAUUCUUAUGUAGAGCUGCUGGUUAUGAAAAUUGAUUUUAAUUGCUAGAUGGUGAAUUGAAUGGAAGAUUAGGGGAUUUCGGCCUUGCAAGAUUGUAUGACCAUGGAACAGAUCCUCAAACGACCCACGUUGUCGGAACUCUUGGGUAUCUCGCACCUGAGCAUGCACGAACUGGAAAGGCCACGACAAGCACUGAUGUGUUCGCUUUUGGG